GAUAGUUAUUAUCGCUCCGUAAAGAUUCUCAUUCGAAGGAGAAACAUUCCGGCCGGAGGAUGGUUUCUCAUUCAUUAGCGCGUCACAGAUUGUGUGCACUUUCACUGCGUUUGUAAAUUACAUCUACCAGCCAACGUUUGCACGAGCGAAACAUCGCGUUAGAUCGUCCGCCGGAUAUUUCAUUUUGUACGCGCAGAAUUGAGAUCAAGGCAUUUCUACCUUGUUUUCUUCCUUCGUCAAAGUGUCAAUAACAGGAAGAAGUGUGUACACAAGAAGUACAAGGAACAUUCCUCGGUGUUGGAACGUCCGAUAUGUAAUACGACGUCUAGGAGGAUUAGACUUGGCAAAACAAAUUAAAUUUUGCCUUCCUCAGCAUUGUGCGUUUACAAACAUGUAGAGCAUGCUUAAGACACCUGACAACCCGCGAUUUACUUCGGAACCUUGUAAUUCAAACCUGGGAACGGUAAACUACCAUUGCCAGCAAAAAUCGAUUCUUCAUUACCAAGGUGUUCUCGAUCAUUAGGAAUCGCGGAUUGGCACGGUUCAAAGUCGACCAGACGGUGUCACGGAAACGUGCAAGGGAACGGUGAUUAACACUUUUCUCGAUACAUCGAAAUCCUCGCGCGUGCUAAUUUGCCAAGUGUCCAUACGUACAAACUGACAAGAGAUCCUCGAACACGGAACGCGUUCGUUUACCAAGGCAUCUGUCUUGCUGCACCAUGAUGACGCGCCAAAAGCUCGCUUGGUCAUUGCUCGACAACAGAAGCCGAUCAGCAGGCAACAUCGUUUUUCUCAGAAGUCUAAACAGUUUGCAGCAGAGCGUAAGCUGGUCGAGCAAGUUUCCCGAUCCCAUUACCGCUCGUAGACCUUGCCGACGGGCAAAGAGGAGAAAAGGGACGUCGAAAGGGAGCAACACGUUGCAUCGCUUACGUCUCUCCUCGUGUUCGCCGUAGAUUGAAAAGUCUUGGGUCGAAAGAAGACUCGGAGAGAAUCGAAGGUGGGCAAUUUCCGAAAAUUCCGAGGAUUACGAAAUGGUUUUUCAUUCGAAAGAAAAGAGAAGGAACCGAGCGGAUGGAAGAAAACGGUGGUCGACACCGUGGAAACAAACCGUGAACCUCGCGCUCGCCCGGCCGUUUAGAAUUUCAAUCUGAUGUUUUGCAUUUCACGUUGGCGCGUAAUUCCUGGCCGAGGCGUACGUAAGCAAACGCGAGCCCCUGAGAUCAAGGGAAGCACGGAUCGGUAAACAAUGUGGUUCUCCUUACGCAAACUCCUCCUCCCCCGUGCAAUCACGCUGAUGGUACUUACGUUUACUUUUACUCCGGCAAAUUCCUCCGGAUCGCGCGAAUUGAUAUAUAUCAACAGUCGCCUUGAUCGUCAAACAAAACCAAACUAGCUAGAGCUGUAAUAUCACUCGGGCCUCAUCGAGCUGACGGGUCGCGAACUCGGUGAUAACCGCAGUCACCAACACGCCGCGCGCGUGUUGCACGCACCACGUCGCGGUGUAAAAAGAAAGAAGAGAAACACGAGAGAACGCUUGCCACCGAUCGCUGGUCUCACGGUUACCUCGACCGAAACGAGCAACACGACGGCGUCGAGCGUCGAUCGGGGACCACGGGAUCGUCGAGAUGCAUCCACGAGACGAUUCACAGCAACCCGAGGAGCAUGUCUCACCGGCGAUUUCCAGUCGAGACACGACGCGAAACGGAGCGUCGAGUUUUUGGCAAAACGUUCCGGUUCGAAAGGGCAGCCGCUCGACUUUCUUCUUCAGGCGUGUGUACACGAACGAAAGGGAACUCGUCCCGACCUGUUCCCAACCGAUUCUUCGCUCUUGCUCGCUCUUGCGUCUCGUUCGUCUGGCAAAAGAGAAACACACUAGGCACGGGCGUUUAUACACACUUGGACGACGGUCGGAGGCCGACUGUUACCACCACUGUGAUUCACGACCACGUGGAACUUAGCAAUGCUUCAACAUCCGCUCGUGAAUAUGUAUUUAUAGGUUCGUACACAACGACAGUAGGUUGCACGCCAGUAUGUUUCUCGCCUGAGAUGUACCCCCUUGGGCCCGAUGCUGCUCUUCAACUUUGUUCCUUCCUCUCCUCUCCUUUCUACCCUCUCCCUGCCCCGUUCCGCGAUUUCGCACUCCGAUCUUUUCAGCGAAAUAAAGGCAAUCUCGUUUCUACCGCGGCAUUCAAACACGCGGAACGAAUCCUGGAACCCUUGUGGGGCCUGUGUGACGUACGUAGCUUGACGUUGUUUCUUUUUCCCUCGUCGAGGCCUGCGGUUUCCUUAUCCUUUUACGUUUUUCGUUUUCGUUUCGUCGCUUUUGAAGCGGGCAGAGUUGAACUCCUCCCGGAGAGAAUUCCUCGACGGUCGAGCGACAUUGUAACUCGGAAAUGAGACGGUGAACACGCGUCCGGAGAACGAUUACGUUAAAGAAAGUAAGAUUUAUGCGUUUUAUAAAGAACGAGUCCAGACGAGGCGUGUGUAUGGCUGGUGUGUUGAGAUUCAAAUAUUCGUCGAUAAAAAUCUGACGGGACGUGGGCUGAUUCAAACACUCUGGGAAUUAACGUAAAACAUGUUGCGAUGCGGACAAUUAGAAAUUUAAACGAUCGUAUAAAUUUUCUCGCACGAAUCAUUGACAUUCAUAUCGGUUAGAUGCGAGCGACAUCGCGAUUUGAAUUUAAAAUAAGUGUUUUUCUUUUCUUUUUUUUUUUCUUUUUGUUUUCGUUUUAGUUUCGAUCGUACAAUUAUUAAUUAAUUUCAAAAGAGUGGCGUUAUAGCGACGUUUAACGGCCAGAUUUGUUUAGCAAAUAAACGCGAACGAGGCUUGAGACAAACGGGGUCGAUCAACUGACUGACCUCUUGUAUUAAAACGUUCAACCGAAGCCAAUCGUGCUCGACAGACUAUCGUUACCAUUAUCGAAACUCAUCAGCUAUAUCAGUGUUUCAGUUAUUAAUUAGUAUUAAUUAUCGUUCCCGAACGGGCUGAAAUAAACGAACGCGAGAUCGUGAAAUGAUCGAACAAAUUAUUGUCCAAAAGAACGCAAGGACGUGGCCAAAAUUUAUUCAUAUACUGUCAGAGCAACCUCUGUAUUCUUUGCGUUCCCUGAUUACCAUUUUUCCAAAUAAACUACGCCACGGCACGUGCUUCUGUAAAACUACUACUUCGUGAUUGAAAGAAAUUUUAGAAACGAGAGACACCGACAAACAGGAACUUCUUUCUACCAACGAUAACAGCGGACGAACUGUGCGAACCAGUUCCAGAAAAUGCUUCAAAGAAUCUCUUCUUCCGGCAGCAUUUCUGCGCGGCGACAUCGCCAAGAAGUCGGCACGAUCUUUUUCAUGGAACGACCUAAACGAUCGUGUGUUUAUCGCGUUUUCCGAAACGACGUCCAGCGAGAAGAAGCGAUCAAUCGUCAGGGGAAAAAACGAAGCGAAUUGAAGGUCGCUCGGGCAGAGAAAUAGACACGAGACCCGGAGUAUUUAAUCGAAAAUGUUUUUGCCAUAGGUCGGUUCAGGUAAGGAAAACUUUGAGGGAGAUAGACAUCGGGGGCGAGGAAAGGAAAAGAAUGUCCUCGCAGCGUGAAGAGAAAUAAAUGGCCCGAGGGACGUUGGUUCUCGUAAAUAUUCUCCGAAGAAACGACCUAACACUACGUGCUUAGCCGCAUAGCUGAAUCUAAAAAUACGAAGCACGUGGUGUUUAAAAAGCGAAAGCCAAAAAGCGAGAGAACCUGUCCGACCGGAGCUCGGCCUCCCGUGUCUUAUUUCGUGGAAAUCGAGAAUACGCGGCUGCAUACGCGUUGCAUUAUACCGAGUUGGUAUCGAAUGAUGCGACUGCUAUGUCGGAAACUAAAGGAACGAUUGCGUGAACACGCAUCGGUGAAAGAAUUCGUUGGAAAAAGAAAGAAUAAAAUACCAGUUUCCAUCGUUGUUCUAGCGACGAUUAUCUAAUAAAUGGGAGGAGAAGCGAGAGGCAAGAAAUCGAUAAAACAUGCUAUUCGUGAGAUAAAUAACGUGACGCAAACGGUGGCUAAUUAAGCGAUGUCGAUGCAAUAUCUAUGCUGUACGAGAUUUAAAUUCGAAAAAUUUAGCAUAACUGAACCGAACUGAAGACGAGUUAAUUCGUUAAUUGUAUAGGCGACGUUCCUUCAUUUAUGGAUCCUCUACAUUUGAAUGUAUUGUUUCGUUUGUAAUGAUUCAGUUUGAGAGAAUAAGAAUCGACGUGUUUCGAAUCAACUUACGAUUACAGAAAUUUCGGAAACCGAUCGGCCAACUGGAAACGAUUGCUGCGGGAUUCUCGUCGGUGAUGAUUCUUUCAGGCGAGAUUGAUCGAUUCCUCGAGCUCAAUCCUGUUCCUCGAAAUCACCCA
This is a long non-coding RNA of Frieseomelitta varia, 4369 nucleotides long. RefSeq lists it as uncharacterized. NCBI's taxonomy places the organism in Eukaryota, Metazoa, Arthropoda, Insecta, Hymenoptera, Apidae. The record is from RefSeq and is a predicted model, not a curated record. The transcript has 3 exons.